Phascolarctos cinereus (koala) is the source of this 484-nucleotide long non-coding RNA. RefSeq lists it as uncharacterized. NCBI's taxonomy places the organism in Eukaryota, Metazoa, Chordata, Mammalia, Diprotodontia, Phascolarctidae. The record is from RefSeq and is a predicted model, not a curated record.
GGGCAGAGCAGGCUCCUCCCUUUCUGUCCUUGGGAGACCUGGAGGCAGGGUGUGUCUGAGGGUCUCCUGAGAGAGGCCCUGGUGAAAACCCAUUCCUCUUCCCACCCAAAGAGGCCUCUUUCUGGAUCAUCGCCCGCACAUCAAGUGGCUGCCCCUUCUGUGAGCCUAACAGUGCAGAACCAGCACCCCAGGGACUCGUGACUGCCCUCUGUCCAGGUGGAGCCACUUAGAGGAGAGCCCUUCAGGCAGCAAGGCCCAAAUGGAGCAGAGUGGAAGAUCUGCCAGAAUGAGUGCAAAGGUCAAAGGCGAAGGAGGAAAGUCCAGUGCCAAUCAAGAGGGAGCUGUUGCAGGGGCUGGGCCUCCUUUCAAACUUCAUCAGAUGGGAGAGAAGCAAAUUGAAACAGUGGUACAGCAAUUAAUAGCCUUAAAUAUUCAGAAGAGUAUCCCCCAGGGAGCAGAGGCCAAACCUGAAGGCAGGGAGGAA